AGCAGCCGCGGUAAUUCCAGCUCCAAUAGCGUAUAUUAAAGUUGCUGCAGUUAAAAAGCUCGUAGUUGAAUUUCGGGACUAAUAUGUCGGUCGUGCCUCGGUACGUACUGGUUUAUUGGUUUCUCCUUUCUGAAGAACCAUGAUGUCAUUUAUUUGGUGUCGUGGGGAAUCAGGACUGUUACUUUGAAAAAAUUAGAGUGUUUAAAGCAGGCUCACGCUUGAAUACAUUAGCAUGGAAUAAUGAAAUAGGACGUUUGAUUCUAUUUUGUUGGUUUCUAGGAUCGACGUAAUGAUUAAUAGGGAUAGUUGGGGGCAUUAGUAUUCAAUUGUCAGAGGUGAAAUUCUUGGAUUUAUUGAAGACUAACUACUGCGAAAGCAUUUGCCAAGGAUGUUUUCAUUAAUCAAGAACGAAAGUUAGGGGAUCGAAGACGAUCAGAUACCGUCGUAGUCUUAACCAUAAACUAUGCCGACUAGGGGAUCGGAUGAUGUUAAUUUUUUUGAAUGACUCAUUCGGCGCCUU
RNAcentral lists this unclassified non-coding RNA (520 nucleotides) under uncultured Paraglomus. Its description in RNAcentral is "SSU rRNA". It matches the Rfam family "Eukaryotic small subunit ribosomal RNA", at positions 569 to 1089 of the family's 1831-position model. Lineage: Eukaryota; Fungi; Glomeromycota; Glomeromycetes; Paraglomerales; Paraglomeraceae. The record is from RNAcentral.